This 443-nucleotide ribosomal RNA is filed under the name uncultured soil bacterium. Its description in RNAcentral is "bacterial SSU rRNA". It matches the Rfam family "Bacterial small subunit ribosomal RNA", at positions 26 to 518 of the family's 1533-position model. The record is from RNAcentral.
AGAACGAACGCUGGCGGCAUGCCUAACACAUGCAAGUCGAACGAGACCUUCGGGUCUAGUGGCGCACGGGUGCGUAACGCGUGGGAAUCUGCCCUUGGGUUCGGAAUAACAGCGAGAAAUUGCUGCUAAUACCGGAUGAUGACGUAAGUCCAAAGAUUUAUCGCCCAAGGAUGAGCCCGCGUAGGAUUAGCUUGUUGGUGAGGUAAGAGCUCACCAAGGCGACGAUCCUUAGCUGGUCUGAGAGGAUGAUCAGCCACACUGGGACUGAGACACGGCCCAGACUCCUACGGGAGGCAGCAGUGGGGAAUAUGGACAAUGGGCGAAAGCCUGAUCCAGCAAUGCCGCGUGAGUGAUGAAGGCCUUAGGGUUGUAAAGCUCUUUUACCCGGAUGAUAAUGACAGUACCGGAGAAUAAGCUCCGGCUAACUCCGUGCCAGCAGCCGC